Molecule: ribosomal RNA, 200 nt
Filed under: uncultured bacterium
Lineage: Bacteria
Description: partial 16S ribosomal RNA
Rfam family: Bacterial small subunit ribosomal RNA
Source: RNAcentral
AUUGAACGCUGGCGGCAUGCCUAACACAUGCAAGUCGAACGGCAGCGCGGGGGCAACCCUGGCGGCGAGUGGCGGACGGGUGAGGAAUGCAUCGGAAUCUGCCUGGUUGUGGGGGGAUAACGUAGGGAAACUUACGCUAAUACCGCAUACGACCUACGGGUGAAAGUGGGGGACCGCAAGGCCUCACGCGAUCAGAGGAG